RNAcentral lists this ribosomal RNA (307 nucleotides) under uncultured Alphaproteobacteria bacterium. RNAcentral describes it as "bacterial SSU rRNA". It matches the Rfam family "Bacterial small subunit ribosomal RNA", at positions 25 to 358 of the family's 1533-position model. The record is from RNAcentral. Lineage: Bacteria; Pseudomonadati; Pseudomonadota; Alphaproteobacteria.
CAGAACGAACGCUGUUCGCAGGCCUAACACAUGCAAGUCGAGCGGUCGUAGCAAUACGGCAGCGGCAGAUUGGCCCGUAACACGUGGGAACGUGCCCUUUGGUUCGGAACAACACAGGGAAACUUGUGCUAAUACCGGAUAAGCCCUUACGGGGAAAGAUUUAUCGCCAAAGGAUCGGCCCGCGUCUGAUUAGCUAGUUGGUGGGGUAACGGCCCACCAAGGCGACGAUCAGUAGCUGGUCUGAGAGGAUGAUCAGCCUCACUGGGACUGAGACACGGCCCAGACUCCUACGGGAGGCAGCAGUGGG